UGGCGGCUAAGAAGACACUCCGUAACCCAGAGCUAAUCCGGGGCGUGGGUAAGUUCUCACGUUCCAAAAUGUACCACAAAAAGGGUUUAUGGGCAAUCAAGAAGAAAAACGGUGGAAAAUUCCCUCAACACCAGAAAAAACCAAUCUCAGCUCCACCAGCUGAGAAAUCCCCAAAGUUUUACCCAGCUGAUGACGUGAAAAAACCCCUUGUAAACAAACACAAACCAAAACCCACAAAGCUAAGAGCGAGUAUUUCUCCAGGUACAGUCUUGAUUAUCCUUGCUGGUAGAUUUAAGGGGAAGAGAGUUGUGUUCUUGAAGCAGCUUUUAUCUGGGUUGCUUCUUGUUACUGGGCCUUUUAAGCUUAAUGGGGUUCCUUUAAGACGUGUUAAUCAAGCUUAUGUGAUUGGUACUUCAACGAAAGUUGAUGUUAGUGGAGUGAAUGUUGAGAAGAUUGAUGAUAAGUAUUUUGCUAAGGAAGCUGAGAAGAAGCAGAAGAAGGGUGAAGGGGAGUUUUUUGAAGAGAAGAAAGAGGUAAAGUUCAUUUUCUGGUUUAAAUUAACUGAUUUUACUUCAAAGUCUUAAUUUUUAGUAAUUUUCUAGUUUUGUGAAGCCUUUAGAUUAACUCAAAUAACAGACUUCAACAAUGUUGGAAUGGAUUGACUCCUAAUUGUGUGCUAAAGUAUAUGAUGGAUUCGCCUCUGAUAUUAGAGAAGAUCAAAAUGUAGUGCUUGUUUGAAAGCUACAUGUACCAAGAGAGGGUGAAGUUCAGUACCCAAGAUCUUGAUUGCCAAUGUGGCUGUAGCUAAAUGAAUUAUAUUUGAGUGGUUUACUGGCCGGUUGUCGUUCUGCUGUCGACUUAUCUGCUUACCGAACUUCUUACAUUACCUAUACUAGUUGUAGUUAUGGAACAGAUAUGGAUAACCCAUUUAAAAAUGGAUAUGGAGAAUUCACAAAACCGGUCAUCUUAAAUUAGAAGUUAAGAACAUGCAAUAUGAGAUUUUCCUGUCAGAACUUUUUAUUCCUCCUAAAUUGUGACUAGCUAUUGACAUCUAAGAUGUUUAGGGGUACCAUUGCUCGUGCACUUAUAAUACAGACACUGUUAAUUUGGCAACAAAUGAUUGAUCUGUCUCUGAUAUUAGAGAAGAGCAUAAUGUAAUGCUUGACUGAAUGCUACAUGUACCAAGAGAAGGGUGAAGUUCAGUACCCAAGAUCUUGAUUGCCAAUGUGGCUGUAGCUAAAUGAAUUCAAUUUGAGUGGUUUACUGGCCGGUUGUCGUUCUGCUGUCGACUUAUCUGCUUACCGAACUUCUUACAUUUACACUAGUUGUAGUUCAUUUACUCGUAAUGGAAUUAAAUGGAUGGAACAGAUAUGAAGUAUUUACUUUGAAAAAUGGAUAUAUAGAAUUUAAAAAGCUGGUUAUCUUUAAAUUAGAACAUGCAAUAUGGGAUUUCCUUGUGAAAACUGUUUAAACUUCCAAAGUUUUGACUAGCUAUAUUGACAUCUAAGAUGUUAGCAGGGGUGCCAUGGCUCUCGUGCACUUGUAAAAUAAACACGGGGAUACUGUGAAAUUGGCAAUAAAUGAUUGAGCUGCCUCUAAUAUUAGAGUAGAUCAAAUGUAAUACUUGAUUGAAAGCUACAUGUACCAAGAGAUGGGUGAAAUUCAGUAUCCAACAUCUUGAUUGCCAAUGUGGCUGUAGCUAUAUGAAUUCAAUUUGAGUGGUUUACUGGCCGGUUGUCGUUCUACUGUCGAUUCAUCUGCUUACCGAACUUCUUACAUUCCCAACUUGUUGUAAUUCAUUUAUUUGUAAUGUAAUUAAAUGGAUGUAAAGAUAUGUGGAAUUCCCUUGAAGCUGAGUUUAAUGAAGAUUAGGUUAAGAUGGUGUUGAUUGAUUUUGACUAAGAUACUGAUGAUUCUUUUGAUUUGAUCUGUUCUUGCUAAUUCAGGAGAAGAAUGAGCUUCCACAGGAAAAGAAAGAUUCCCAGAAAGCUGUAGAUGCAUCAUUGAUCAAGGCCAUUGAGGCUGUUCCUGAUUUGAAGGGUUAUUUAUCCGCAAGGUUUUCACUCAAGUCAGGCAUGAGACCACAUGAGCUAGUUUUUUAGG
Molecule: long non-coding RNA, 2103 nt
Filed under: Solanum tuberosum (potato)
Lineage: Eukaryota; Viridiplantae; Streptophyta; Magnoliopsida; Solanales; Solanaceae
Description: long non-coding RNA (STUB_LNC004418)
Rfam family: Small nucleolar RNA snoR109 (bases 1228-1318)
Source: RNAcentral